CGUACAGUGCAAUAUACGACUACUCUUGUCAUCUCCCUUAGAUUGAAAAUGCCGCCCAGAUGUGCCUGAAAACCAGAUAUGAGUUUCUCUGGUGAGCGUACUGAACUUCUCAAGCACCACUGAAAACGUUGCUUAAACACAGGGGAAACAAGAGGAUAAAUAGCAAUGACAUUCACGUGAACCAAACGGCGGCUUAUGAAUGCGUGCAUGUUGGAGAUUUACAGACUUGAAGCAGAAGCAGGACUCGGAUCCUGGGACACGUGCCAAGACCGAGUUAAUCCAUGCACACCAGCUCCAUAUCUACGUACAUUAUUCGGGGAUCUACUCAGAUGUUCUACUUGCUGCAGCCUCUCAUUCUCCAAUCAUCAUCAGGGAAAUCAAAAUUCACUGAGAGAUAGAUGGAGAGCUUUACAUCUUGUUCAGUCCCUGCUGACGGAUGCAGAGGAAGUGCCUAACAGACACGAGCCACUGGAAUGAACAAGUUUGCACUAUCCUGUGGCGAGGGGAUGAGGUGGGCAAAAAAAAAGGGCUA
RNAcentral lists this long non-coding RNA (532 nucleotides) under Crocodylus porosus (Australian saltwater crocodile). Its description in RNAcentral is "lncRNA (ENSCPRG00005006310.1)". The record is from RNAcentral. Lineage: Eukaryota; Metazoa; Chordata; Crocodylia; Crocodylidae.